UUGGUUAUAGCUCAGUUUGGUAGAGUGCAUGCAUGCACGUAUGUAUGAUGUCCUGGGUUCAAUACCCAGCUUCUACC
Molecule: non-coding RNA, 77 nt
Organism: Dallia pectoralis (Alaska blackfish)
Lineage: Eukaryota; Metazoa; Chordata; Actinopteri; Esociformes; Umbridae
Source: the annotation of a GenBank genome assembly